CAGCCGCCGCGGGAAUACGAAGGGGGCUAGCGUUGUUCGGAUUUACUGGGCGUAAAGGGUGCGUAGGCGGAUUGUCAAGUCAGGGGUGAAAUCCCGAGGCUCAACCUCGGAACUGCCUUUGAUACUGGCGAUCUUGAGUCCGGGAGAGGUGAGUGGAACUGCGAGUGUAGAGGUGAAAUUCGUAGAUAUUCGCAAGAACACUGGUGGCGAAGGCGGCUCACUGGCCCGGUACUGACGCUGAGGCACGAAAGCGUGGGGAGCAAACAGGAUUAGAUACCCGCGUAGUCCCUGUCUCUUAUAC
Molecule: ribosomal RNA, 301 nt
Filed under: uncultured bacterium
Lineage: Bacteria
Description: partial 16S ribosomal RNA
Rfam family: Bacterial small subunit ribosomal RNA
Source: RNAcentral